GACAGAGGGUGCGAACGUUGUUCGGAAUUACUGGGCGUAAAGCGCGUGUAGGCGGCAGCGUAAGUCGGGCGUGAAAUCCCACGGCUCAACCGUGGAAGUGCACUCGAAACUGCGCAGCUAGAGUCCUGGAGAGGAAGGUGGAAUGCUUGGUGUAGAGGUGAAAUUCGUAGAUAUCAAGCGGAACACCGGUGGCGAAGGCGACCUUCUGGACAGUGACUGACGCUGAGACGCGAAAGCGUGGGGAGCAAACAGG
RNAcentral lists this ribosomal RNA (253 nucleotides) under uncultured bacterium. RNAcentral describes it as "partial 16S ribosomal RNA". It matches the Rfam family "Bacterial small subunit ribosomal RNA", at positions 524 to 776 of the family's 1533-position model. The record is from RNAcentral.